RNAcentral lists this ribosomal RNA (433 nucleotides) under uncultured bacterium. Its description in RNAcentral is "partial 16S ribosomal RNA". It matches the Rfam family "Bacterial small subunit ribosomal RNA", at positions 29 to 507 of the family's 1533-position model. The record is from RNAcentral.
AACGAACGCUGGCGGCAUGCCUAACACAUGCAAGUCGAACGAGACCUUCGAGUCUAGUGGCGCACGGGUGCGUAACGCGUGGGAACCUGCCCUUAGGUUCGGAAUAACUCCCCGAAAGGGGUGCUAAUACCGGAUAAUGUCUUCGGACCAAAGAUUUAUCGCCUUUGGAUGGGCCCGCGUUGGAUUAGCUAGUUGGUAGGGUAAAAGCCUACCAAGGCGACGAUCCAUAGCUGGUCUGAGAGGAUGAUCAGCCACACUGGGACUGAGACACGGCCCAGACUCCUACGGGAGGCAGCAGUGGGGAAUAUUGGGCAAUGGGCGAAAGCCUGAUCCAGCAAUGCCGCGUGAGUGAUGAAGGCCUUAGGGUUGUAAAGCUCUUUUACCCGGGAUGAUAAUGACAGUACCGGGAGAAUAAGCUCCGGCUAACUCCGUG